Molecule: non-coding RNA, 74 nt
Organism: Potamilus streckersoni
Lineage: Eukaryota; Metazoa; Mollusca; Bivalvia; Unionida; Unionidae
Source: the annotation of a GenBank genome assembly
ACUUUGGUGGCCUAGUGGUUAGAGCGUCCUUCUCGGAUGUGGGAGGUCGUGGUUUCAAACCCUGGCCUGAUGUC